GGCCCGGUAGUUCAGUUGGUUAGAACGCCUGCCUGUCACGCAGGAGGUCGCGAGUUCAAGUCUCGUCCGGGUCGCCA
RNAcentral lists this transfer RNA (77 nucleotides) under Rubrivirga sp. SAORIC476. Its description in RNAcentral is "tRNA-Asp". It matches the Rfam family "tRNA". From Rfam's summary of the family: Transfer RNA (tRNA) molecules are approximately 80 nucleotides in length. Their secondary structure includes four short double-helical elements and three loops (D, anti-codon, and T loops). The record is from RNAcentral. Lineage: Bacteria; Pseudomonadati; Rhodothermota; Rhodothermia; Rhodothermales; Rubricoccaceae. RNAcentral also lists the same sequence under 1 other name.